GGAUGCCUUGGCAUGCUUAGCCGAUGAAGGACGUGUGAGGCUGCGUUAUGCCUCGGGGAGUUGCCAACAAAGCGUUGAUCCGAGGAUGUCCGAAUGGGGAAACCUGGCACUUGUUAUGGAGUGUUACCUGCAGAUGAAUGUAUAGUCUGUGUGGGGGUUACGCGGGGAAGUGAAACAUCUCAGUACCCGUAGGAGAAGAUAUUCCGUGAGUAGUGGCGAGCGAAAGCGGAUGAUGGUUAAACCGUGUGCGUGUGAUACUCGGCAGGGGUUGCGUGUGCGGGGUUGUGGGGCUGUCCUGUUU
RNAcentral lists this ribosomal RNA (301 nucleotides) under Ctenophora environmental sample. RNAcentral describes it as "partial Bacterial large subunit ribosomal RNA". It matches the Rfam family "Bacterial large subunit ribosomal RNA", at positions 26 to 316 of the family's 2925-position model. Lineage: Eukaryota; Metazoa; Ctenophora. The record is from RNAcentral.